RNAcentral lists this ribosomal RNA (301 nucleotides) under uncultured bacterium. RNAcentral's name for it is "partial 16S ribosomal RNA". It matches the Rfam family "Bacterial small subunit ribosomal RNA", at positions 509 to 809 of the family's 1533-position model. The record is from RNAcentral.
CAGUCGCCGCGGUAAUACGAAGGGGGCUAGCGUUGUUCGGAAUGACUGGGCGUAAAGGGCGCGUAGGCGGUUUGCCAAGUUAGAUGUGAAAUUCCCGGGCUUAACCUGGGGACUGCAUUUGAUACUGGCAGGCUUGAGUGUGGAAGAGGGUCGUGGAAUUCCCAGUGUAGAGGUGAAAUUCGUAGAUAUUGGGAAGAACACCGGUGGCGAAGGCGGCGACCUGGUCCAUAACUGACGCUGAGGCGCGAAAGCGUGGGGAGCAAACAGGAUUAGAGACCCCCGUAGUCCCUGUCUCUUAUAA